RNAcentral lists this non-coding RNA (30 nucleotides) under Mus musculus (house mouse). The record is from RNAcentral. Lineage: Eukaryota; Metazoa; Chordata; Mammalia; Rodentia; Muridae.
UGAGACAUUCGUCACAGGCCAGAAAGUACU